UACGGAGGGAGCUAGCGUUGUUCGGAAUUACUGGGCGUAAAGCGCGCGUAGGCGGCUUUGUAAGUUAGAGGUGAAAGCCUGGAGCUCAACUUCAGAAUUGCCUUUAAGACUGCAUCGCUUGAAUCCGGGAGAGGUGAGUGGAAUUCCGAGUGUAGAGGUGAAAUUCGUAGAUAUUCGGAAGAACACCAGUGGCGAAGGCGGCUCACUGGACCGGCAUUGACGCUGGGGUGCGAAAGCGUGGGGAGCAAACAGG
This 253-nucleotide ribosomal RNA is filed under the name uncultured bacterium. RNAcentral describes it as "partial 16S ribosomal RNA". It matches the Rfam family "Bacterial small subunit ribosomal RNA", at positions 524 to 776 of the family's 1533-position model. The record is from RNAcentral.